UGUGACAGCCAUAAACAACAGUUGGGACUCUCAAUUUGUUCAGUUAGAAAUUGUCUUACUUUUCUGUCAUCCUAACUAUUCAGUUUUUCUUGUUGGUAGUAUGCGAUCUAGAGAACACUGCAUGGGCACUUUUAAGUAAAAAUGAAUAACUUUUUUCUCUUGUUAAUGGAGGCGACAUGGGGUAACUUGCACAAACCAUAAAGCCUCAAACAUCACAGUGUUUUGUUUGUUUGCUUGCUUUGUAUUUUAUGCACAAAAAUAACACCCUGGCUCACAAUUUCAAUUAGCAAAAGCAGACAGAAGUAGAAGAACAGAAACCCCACAGCAAGGUUAUCACAUUUAGGAAUGUUCCUGGAUCCUGGGACUAUGGGCUGGGUCUUUGAUGUAUUAUGUCAUUGUUCCUAUGUUGGAAGGUGUUAGGGCCUAAGAGCUAGCAUUUAAGGUCAAAAUAGUGCCUCCAACAUGGUGUCAUUUCCGCUAAGGUUGAGAACCUGUUAUACUCUGGAUAAUUUUCCAAUUUUAGUAAAUUGUUUUGAGAUAUAAGAACUAACUACUUACAUAACGAAAGCAUCUAUGGUGCUGUUUCCUGUUAGAAAUUUGGUUGCUACUCUUUUUAGAUGGUGCAUGUUUGCUCAAUGUGGCAGAGGGACUCUGUGUCCUACACCAAUUUCCUCCUCAACAUCCAUGCCUAACUCUUCCCUUCUUCAAACUGGAUUUCCUGGAGACAUCUGCUUCAUCAAUGAUUCUAGCCUGAUGACCACAUUCUCUCUUGGAAUGACGUGCUAUCAAAAACCAAACCGUAAAAGGAGAAAAAUCCAUUGCAACAAUUCCACCGAAGUACUUCAAGCUCAUUACUAAGAUAAUGAAAGAACUCACUCAGGAGUUAAUGGAUUGAAAUCAAUAUCAUAUGGAAAUCUGCACUCUCAGUGUCAACUGAAGAGGAAAGAGAAGACAACAGAGACAAAGGCACUGGGAAGUCAUUGGAUGCAUUUCCUGUGGAGAAAGGUGAGGAAACAGGAGAACGAAAUGAGACACAGGGUACUGUAGAGAGUCCCUGGGAAAGUGACAUAAAAAGAAUCUAAAGUAAGAAGUAGAGAGCAGAGCUUUCAAUCCCAGCAGAAAUGUUCUCUCACUCUAGCAGAAGGGACAACAAGUGUGUGGGCAGGUGGUGCUUAUGCUACAGUACUUGUGGGUAUUUUUAGAUGUCAGCUCUCAUCUGCUCAUUCUGUUUGCUUGAAGAAGUAUGCCGAGAAGUCAUUAGCUGAGGAUGAAGGCAAAUGUGCUAGAACUAUGAAAGAGGCAUGCUGGAGUCAAUAAAGGAACUUACUAGCCAACAGUAUUGCACAGUGUAGUGUCCAAACUGAUGCCAGUGUUCAACAUUUGUCUGACUUAAUUAUCUAUUCUGAAAAGAAUCUACUCAUGAUGGUGUGUUUUUUCUUAAAUACACUUUUUCUUACGCAUCUGGAAAGAAAAAUGAGUAGUUUGCUUUCACUUGGAAGAGGGUUUUGUCAGGAACUGAGAAGGAUGCUAUAUAAAUAUGUAAACUAUUAUUUAAAGUGUGUUUUAAUGAUGCAGAAAUGAUCAUCCACUUCAUGAUAUGACACACAAAAGAACAAUGGAGUUUAGAGUACUUGUUCUUGAUUAUGUUGGAGGACCACUAAAAAAAAAGAGUUAUUAUCAGUGAACUAAACAAAAGAAACUUGGCCUUUUGGGGUAGGUUAUUUGAAUUAAUUGGCUACCUGAGUUGGGAAUAGAUUAACACAAAAUUUAACAUUGAUCUGAGGUGAAGCAUGUCAUAAGCAGGUCAUGGAGCGAGCUGAUCACCUUGCAGCCCCUGUGAAGAAGAAGAGGUACACAGAAAUUGACUACUGGUACCCAGCUCAACUUCUCCUUCUUAUGAAAUCUGAGGCGCAAUAUGUGGAGUGAUGAGGUAUUGUCUAUCAGUUAUAGCAGUUGUAGUAUUGAAAGAGAUGAUGUGCUCAGUUAAUAAAGAAAUGUUCUCAGAAGAAUGACAGGUAACAAUAUAACCAGGAAAGAAAGCAUGACACCUUAGAAGUCAAGGGAGAAGUGAGUUUUAAAGAAUGAGGAGGUGGUUUUGAAUCAGUUUUAGAAAAUGACAAGGGAAUAGUUCUCAAAAAAGACUUGACCCAUGAGUCAUAGAUGUAGACAUUUAAGGAAUUUGUUAGGUUGGACUGCAAUUUCGAUGGAUCUUAGCAGGGAACAGAGGUCAAAGCACUGUGCUUGUGUAAGUUAGGUGAUACAACACAAGACAUUGGAGGAAAACACACUGAAGGAAGGGCAACUGUAACAUAUAGGUCCAACAGAGAGUGAGGAUAUAGGCAACACAAAGGUCCAGAUAUGAAAAGGAUUUUUAGAUGGAGAGAAGAAGGCUUAAUCAGAAUGAAGGGCACAUGACAAGCUCUCAGAAACCCAGGAGAGUGAAACACAACUAAAAGCCACAACCAGGACAUCAGGGUACAAGUGGUUUGAAAUAACUGGGCUUUUACUUUGGGCUGAAAGUUUAAAUUAGAAUGGGGUAGGGAG
This is a long non-coding RNA of Rattus rattus (black rat), 2544 nucleotides long. RefSeq lists it as uncharacterized. The record is from RefSeq and is a predicted model, not a curated record. The transcript is spliced from 3 exons. Lineage: Eukaryota; Metazoa; Chordata; Mammalia; Rodentia; Muridae.